RNAcentral lists this ribosomal RNA (795 nucleotides) under uncultured archaeon. Its description in RNAcentral is "bacterial SSU rRNA". It matches the Rfam family "Archaeal small subunit ribosomal RNA", at positions 85 to 879 of the family's 1478-position model. The record is from RNAcentral.
ACGGCUCAGUAACACGUGGAUAACCUGCCCUUGGGUCCGGCAUAACCCCGGGGAACUGGGGAUAAUUCCGGAUAACGCACAUAUGCUGGAAUGCUUUAUGCGUAAAAUGGAUUCGUCUGCCCAAGGAUGGGUCUGCGGCCUAUCAGGUAGUAGGGGGUGUAAUGUACCUACUAGCCUACGACGGGUACGGGUUGUGAGAGCAAGAGCCCGGAGAUGGAUUCUGAGACAUGAAUCCAGGCCCUACGGGGCGCAGCAGGCGCGAAAACUUUACAAUGCGGGAAACCGUGAUAAGGGGACACCGAGUGCCAGCAUCCUAUGCUGGCUGUCCAGGUGUGCAAAAUACACCUGUUAGCAAGGGCCGGGCAAGACCGGUGCCAGCCGCCGCGGUAACACCGGCGGCCCGAGUGGUGAUCGUGAUUAUUGGGUCUAAAGGGUCCGUAGCCGGUUUGGUCAGUCCUCCGGGAAAUCUGACAGCUCAACUGUUAGGCUUUCGGAGGAUACUGCCAGACUUGGAACCGGGAGAGGUAAGAGGUACUACAGGGGUAGGAGUGAAAUCUUGUAAUCCCUGUGGGACCACCUGUGGCGAAGGCGUCUUACCAGAACGGGUUCGACGGUGAGGGACGAAAGCUGGGGGCACGAACCGGAUUAGAUACCCGGGUAGUCCCAGCCGUAAACGAUGCUCGCUAGGUGUCAGGCAUGGCGCGACCGUGUCUGGUGCCGCAGGGAAGCCGUGAAGCGAGCCACCUGGGAAGUACGGCCGCAAGGCUGAAACUUAAAGGAAUUGGCGGGGAGCAC